AUGCUGAGCUACCAGAGCCCGACGGCCCAGCGGACGUGCGCGGCCCCGCCGCUCCCGGCGGCCGCGGGCGCGGAGCUCGCGCGGCUCGAGGCGCGCCUGGGGCAGUGCGCCGACCCGGACGCGCGGCAGCGGCUCGCGGGGCUCGGCGAGGCGGCGGCGGCGCGGGUGCUGCGCGCGAUCGCCGAGUCCCGGACGCCCGUCAAGACGCUCUCCGGCUUCAUCAGGUACCUGGCGGACAGGGCCGACAAGGACUUCGAGGCGAUGCAGCGCAACGCGCGGGGCAUCCCUCCCGCCAAGAGCGCCGCCUGCUGCAGCUCCGGCCCUUCGCAGGGAGAUGACUCUGUAUCUGGGCCACAGUACCAUAGCGAUGAUCAAGUUGAGGUUCAAAGCCCUUACACUGAAGAGAUAGCUUUUCGUCUCUCAAACCGUGCUGGGAGUCCCAGUCAACCGCGGCCUAUCAAUUUGCAAGAUAACAUGGGUCCUGUCAGAGAAAUUGUUUGUAUAGAACAAAACGUGACCGCGAUGGCAGCUAAUACUCCAUCUGGCCGGGCCUCCUUGCAAAUCCAGGAUGACAUUCAGAUUAAUGAUCGUAUCCGAGCAAUGACUCCUGCUAUGAUGCCGGCAACAACCCAGCCCAGGAUGGCAGCCGAGAACCCAUCCUCAAUGACACCUGCUAUGAUGCCGGUUCCAACCCUGCCAUGGAUGGCAGGCGAGAACCCGCGCGCUUGGAUCCCGCUCCUGAACCUGGACUAUGUUCCUACUCCUGAUGUUAUGAUGCAAGGAGGUAGCCCUGGCCAUUGUGUGUCCAUUGGGCUGCAUAAUGAUAUGAGGAUUGAAAGCCCCAUACCAAAUGCCAUUCAUACACCUCCAAGGAGUGUUUCCACACCAAGCCCUGUGCGGGAUCUUUCAAGACCUGUUCAGCGAAUGGUUCUUCCGUCAGGAAGCCCACAUAGCCCAGCAUGGGCAAUGGCGCCAAGUUGUGCAACCUAUCAUGCCACAGAAAAUGCAUUGAGGGAGAAAGCAAGUCCUCAAAUGCAAGCACUGGAGGAUUUGGAGUUCAUGAAGAGAUUUAUGAUUUGUGCAUACCUUCGUCAGAAGAGGAUAGAAGAUGAACUAUCUGUGGACUAUAUUAGAUCCUUGAAGUACCUUUCCAUGGUUCAGUUUGAGCCAGAAAUCUGGAGAGCAUUUGGUUGCAAGUAUAUAAAAUUUUCAGAUAGAGUGAAGAACCUUGAUUCCGACCCAGGUGCACCAAGAGUCUACCAUUGUAUUGUAGAGAUAACAGGGGAUUCUGUAGUGAAACUUUUCAAGGUUGCUGAAGAUGGUAUUAUUCUGGGUUUACGCCGCUACCGGUUUUUUGGUGUUAAUAAGCUGAUCCCUACAUAG
Molecule: ribosomal RNA, 1383 nt
Filed under: Triticum aestivum (bread wheat)
Lineage: Eukaryota; Viridiplantae; Streptophyta; Magnoliopsida; Poales; Poaceae
Description: partial small subunit ribosomal RNA
Source: RNAcentral